CUGCAUGGUCACACCACCCUGAACGCACCCGAUCUUGUCUGGUCUUGGAAGCUAAGCAGUGUCAGGUCUGGUUAGUACUUGGAUGGCAGUCCAAUAAAUUUUAAAAUUAUGAAUA
RNAcentral lists this ribosomal RNA (115 nucleotides) under Carlito syrichta (Philippine tarsier). Lineage: Eukaryota; Metazoa; Chordata; Mammalia; Primates; Tarsiidae. The record is from RNAcentral.